UCGGUUCCGGUUCACCGCGCGCGGCAGCAGGCCCAGCGGACCCGGCAUC
The sequence is a regulatory RNA element, 49 nucleotides long. It matches the Rfam family "L31-Actinobacteria ribosomal protein leader". The record is from Rfam.